This 483-nucleotide ribosomal RNA is filed under the name uncultured bacterium. RNAcentral's name for it is "partial 16S ribosomal RNA". It matches the Rfam family "Bacterial small subunit ribosomal RNA", at positions 28 to 507 of the family's 1533-position model. The record is from RNAcentral.
GAUGAACGCUGGCGGCGUGCCUAACACAUGCAAGUCGAACGGAGUCGUUUUGGAAAUCUCUUCGGAGAUGGAAUUCUCGACUUAGUGGCGGACGGGUGAGUAACGCGUGAGCAAUCUGCCUUUAAGAGGGGGAUAACAGUCGGAAACGGCUGCUAAUACCGCAUAAAGCAUUAAAUUCGCAUGUUUUUGAUGCCAAAGGAGCAAUCCGCUUUUAGAUGAGCUCGCGUCUGAUUAGCUAGUUGGCGGGGUAACGGCCCACCAAGGCGACGAUCAGUAGCCGGACUGAGAGGUGGAACGGCCACAUUGGGACUGAGACACGGCCCAGACUCCUACGGGAGGCAGCAGUGGGGAAUAGUGCGCAAUGGGGGAAACCCUGACGCAGCAACGCCGCGUGAUUGAAGAAGGCCUUCGGGGUGUAAAGAUCUUUAAUCAGGGACGAAACAAAUGACGGUACCUGAAGAAUAAGCUCCGGCUAACUACGUG